GAUGAACGCUGGCGGCGUGCCUAAUACAUGCAAGUCGAGCGAACAGAUAAGGAGCUUGCUCCUUUGACGUUAGCGGCGGACGGGUGAGUAACACGUGGGUAACCUACCUAUAAGACUGGAAUAACUCCGGGAAACCGGGGCUAAUGCCGGAUAACAUUUAGAACCGCAUGGUUCUAAAGUGAAAGAUGGUUUUGCUAUCACUUAUAGAUGGACCCGCGCCGUAUUAGCUAGUUGGUAAGGUAACGGCUUACCAAGGCAACGAUACGUAGCCGACCUGAGAGGGUGAUCGGCCACACUGGAACUGGGACACGGUCCAGACUCCUACGGGAGGCAGCAGUAGGGAAUCUUCGGCAAUGGGCGAAAGCCUGACGGAGCAACGCCGCGUGAGUGAUGAAGGUCUUCGGAUCGUAAAACUCUGUUAUUAGGGAAGAACAAAUGUGUAAGUAACUGUGCACGUCUUGACGGUACCUAAUCAGAAAGCCACGGCUAACUACGUG
Molecule: ribosomal RNA, 497 nt
Filed under: uncultured bacterium
Lineage: Bacteria
Description: partial 16S ribosomal RNA
Rfam family: Bacterial small subunit ribosomal RNA
Source: RNAcentral